UGCAUAUCAAUAAGCGGAGGAAAAGAAACCAACAGGGAUUGCCUCAGUAACGGCGAGUGAAGCGGCAACAGCUCAAAUUUGAAAUCUGGCUCUUUUAGGGUCCGAGUUGUAAUUUGUAGAAGAUGCUUCGGGUGUGGUCCCAGUCUAAGUUCCUUGGAACAGGACGUCAUAGAGGGUGAGAAUCCCGUAUGUGAUUGGGUACCUUCGCUCAUGUGAAGCUCUUUCGACGAGUCGAGUUGUUUGGGAAUGCAGCUCAAAAUGGGUGGUAAAUUUCAUCUAAAGCUAAAUAUUGGCCAGAGACCGAUAGCGCACAAGUAGAGUGAUCGAAAGAUGAAAAGCACUUUGGAAAGAGAGUUAAACAGUACGUGAAAUUGUUGAAAGGGAAGCGCUUGCAACCAGACUUGCACGCGGUUGAUCAUCCGGUGUUCUCACCGGUGCACUCUGCCGCGUUCAGGCCAGCAUCGGUUUUGGUGGUUGGAUAAAGGCCUUGGGAAUGUAGCUUCUUUCGGGGAGUGUUAUAGCCCUCGGUGCAAUGCAGCCUACCGGGACCGAGGACCGCGCUUCGGCUAGGAUGCUGGCGUAAUGGUUGUAAGCGACCCGUCUUGAAACACGGACCA
RNAcentral lists this ribosomal RNA (617 nucleotides) under uncultured Pezizomycotina. Its description in RNAcentral is "eukaryotic LSU rRNA". It matches the Rfam family "Eukaryotic large subunit ribosomal RNA", at positions 37 to 668 of the family's 3401-position model. Lineage: Eukaryota; Fungi; Ascomycota. The record is from RNAcentral.